This 305-nucleotide ribosomal RNA is filed under the name uncultured bacterium. Its description in RNAcentral is "bacterial SSU rRNA". It matches the Rfam family "Bacterial small subunit ribosomal RNA", at positions 333 to 635 of the family's 1533-position model. The record is from RNAcentral.
UGCUACCUACGGGAGGCAGCAGUGAGGAAUAUUGGUCAAUGGGCGGAAGCCUGAACCAGCCAAGUCGCGUGAGGGAAGAAGGCCCUGCGGGUCGCAGACCUCUUUGGACGGGGAGCAAGGCCGCCGACGUGUCGGCGGAAGGAGAGUACCCGUAGAACAAGCAUCGGCUAACUCCGUGCCAGCAGCCGCGGUAAUACGGAGGAUGCGAGCGUUAUCCGGAUUUAUUGGGUUUAAAGGGUGCGCAGGCGGCGAGUUAAGUCAGCGGUAAAAUUUCGGGGCUCAACCCCGACGAGCCGUUGAAACUG